Molecule: long non-coding RNA, 878 nt
Organism: Drosophila biarmipes
Lineage: Eukaryota; Metazoa; Arthropoda; Insecta; Diptera; Drosophilidae
Exons: 2
Source: RefSeq, a predicted model, not a curated record
GCUCACGUUGUCACGAUCAAGCCCUGAGCGACAGCUAAAUAAUCAUUAACCCAUACACUGAGUGCAUAAAAGCUAAGCUUAAAAACCUGGGGAAGUGAACGGGCCAGCCGCAUUACCAGAUACACAAAAUUGGCCUACUUUGCAGAUUCCCAUUCCCUAAUUCGUUUCAUUAUCAUAUAUCCCACUUCAUUCCUUAACGUAGUUCUUAGUUUAACAAGCAAUAAACAGGCAACAGGCAUCUUACUGUCAAAGAAUAAUGUUUUCUUUUAUUUAAACGGCAAUUAUUCACUUCCUAACCAAAAAUCGCACACUGGACUCUGGGACGGUAUUCAUAGAUACUUCAAUUCGCGCACCUAAAGUGCCUGCAGCAAACGAUCGUAUGUUGAUGAUAUUUUUCGGACAAAUAAAGGUGUGCGCACACUGAUGAGACGCUGAGCAGCUCGCUGUUUAGCGCCUUGAGAGUUUGCAUGUAAUCAAUUACGCAAACAAAUUCCUGUAAAUAUAUUUGUUUCUUUCUAAAUCGAAGGUCAGAAGAGAUUAAAAAAGACGCCAAGAUUUUCCCUAUUAACGUAGGCCUUUGAAAAUGGGUACCCGCAAAGAAAAGUAAUACGAUCUCCGUCAAGUUCUCCAAUAAUGCAGAUCUGAAGGACGCGAUGGCGUCUUCUAUAGAGAGGAGCAAAAAGAACGUCCGCUAACUGACAUCUAGAAGAGCCAUGAGUAGCCAUUGCCAAGAAACUGGGCGCCUUUCCUGCAAUAUUAGCGGUACAAUCCCGUUCCCAUCCCGGAUCCAACUCGCCCAAGACCCAUGCUGGCAUAUUUAAUAUCUUCGUUUACACUAAAAAGAAUAAAUAAAUUCUUAGCCGAUAUCAGUACUGGGA